CAUUAGAUGACUGAAAGCAAGUACUGGUCU
RNAcentral lists this non-coding RNA (30 nucleotides) under Drosophila melanogaster (fruit fly). The record is from RNAcentral. Lineage: Eukaryota; Metazoa; Arthropoda; Insecta; Diptera; Drosophilidae. RNAcentral also lists the same sequence under 2 other names.